UUGAUAACACUGGAGACUGAAGUCCUUAUUUAUCCAUCAAAUAGGGCAGCAAUAACUCAAGCUUCCUUGCACUGCUCUGCUGUCAUUCCUCAGCCCUGAAGAGGCUCCCUCUAAAGGUUGAGCAGGUAGUUCAGUCUCUAUUUCCAUUCAGUACUUGGUCUCU
This is an unclassified non-coding RNA of Chelonoidis abingdonii (Abingdon island giant tortoise), 163 nucleotides long. The record is from Ensembl. Lineage: Eukaryota; Metazoa; Chordata; Testudines; Testudinidae.